Ficedula albicollis (Collared flycatcher) is the source of this 559-nucleotide long non-coding RNA. RefSeq lists it as uncharacterized. Lineage: Eukaryota; Metazoa; Chordata; Aves; Passeriformes; Muscicapidae. The record is from RefSeq and is a predicted model, not a curated record. The transcript is spliced from 3 exons.
AAUAAAGAAUAAGAUACAGAACAUUAUUAUGCCUUGUCUUAAUCUGUGGUUUGUCCAUGCAUUAGAUACUAUUUCAUCUCCCUUUUGUAUGAAGAUGCAGGGCAGCUAGAGGAAAUGUGGGGAAAAUUGGCAUGAGUCGAUAGAGACCUGGAAUGGCUUCUAUGUGAUAUGUUCCAUGUGACUGGGAAAGAUGUGGUUGAGGAAUGAUGUCACAGAGGUCCAUGAAAUUGUGCCUGGCUUGAAGAGAGUUUGGCUAUUUCAUCUGCAGUGUGUAAGAGAUAAGCUUUGAAGGAGUCAGGUUCAUCCUGGCAGGAGGAAGUCAUUCUUCAUGCGCCUAGAACAUUCUGUUGUGGGAAGACAGUUGAAGCCCCUCGAAAAGGCUGUGAUCUUCAGGACCUUCUAUUUCAUUGGAUAAGUAGCAAAAAAAAGGCUGCUACCCAAAAUGAAAGAGAUCUGCUUUUAGUUGGAGUUCUCCUGCAGAAGAUCUGGGAAGACAGCUGGUCAUCCUUGCUCCAUUUCUCUGAAAUUUUCUUUCCCUUGAUUGAGGACUAAAAACUAA